GCAUUUUGCUGCCUUACUCUGCCCUGAAUGCACAGGACCGGGGAUGGUCCGUCAUUAACUGUAAACUGACUCUCAUCAGGAAACUGCACAUUAUUCCACCAUCCCUUCAAAGGUCUCAUCAGGCAGAGGUGACGCCAGGAGAUGAUUUAAAGGUGAAAAUGACAAGGUUUCCACCCCUCAAACCUUGGCUCCUUUUCUGACAAUACAGUCUGAAUGCACCCGAUGUCUUCUUUACUGUGGAAAUAGCAUCGGAAGAAAAAACAUAUUUUUUAAUCCUGAUAAAGAAGAUUAUUGGGAAGCUCUUUUUUAAAAAAAAAAAAAUCUCCAAUUGUGCACAGAUGGAUUUUAGAAAGUGUUAGAGCUUUCCAAUGAACACUAAUAGAGUACUCUGCUCUUGGCUGGAUUUUUCAGGUAAGAAGCCUCUUUAAGGAUUUAAGAUUCAGAAAACAGAUUUGUAACCUGUUCAGUCAUAUCUAGGGAACUAUGUAAGGCUGGAUGCAUUAUUUUGGUGGAAGACACUUAUUAACAUGGAGACAAGCUCUUGGUGAGAGUAAGCCAUGAGAGUGAUAAUGCACGAGCCUUGGAAGUGAUGCUAAGAAUGAAAGAAAGUUAAAUUAAAAAAGGAAAAAGAAGGAAAAUACUGCAAAUGUGAAGUCACAGUAAUCUUUUUAAGUGCUAAAAUAUAUGUGGGUGAAUAAAUGAGCAAGAGAAAGCACAGUCAUUGAAAAACUGUUAAGUUUUGAUUGUGGUAGGCUUUUUGAAAGUUGAGAUGAAUUCCUAGUGCAUUUUAACUGAAAUUCACAAGUAGUCAAUGCAUGCCACAGUCACCUCUAUUUUGUCUUUCUACAAUUUGCAGGGUAUUUGAAAAAGGCCCCCAAACGCAUUCAUUUCAAGGUUCACAAAAGGGGUGUUGCUAUUUAUCUCUGCUGAAGAUAAUGCAUCUAUGUUAUAUUGAUAGUUCUGAAGACAAUGAAGCUAAAUCUGUUGUCUACAAAAGUAAACAGUGGGCAGUGAAAGUAAUUAUAAAGUGAAUGGUCCAUCUGAAUCACAGAGUGAGGCAUGAAAGGCACCAUGCUGUUGCAAAUAAUGUUUUCCUACUUUGCACUUAAUUAUGGUUGUCACCAUUUGUCUAUUAUAGUCCUAAACCCUUCUUAAAGACUGCAUCUCUCUCCUAAAGCCCAUAAAUUAUCUUCUAUUAUGUCUGUAUAUACAUAUGUGUGUGUGUGUGUAUGUGUGUGUGUGUGUGUGUGUGUGUGUGUAUAUAUCUAUAUCUUUCUGCUUUCUGAACAUCACAGUUUUUGAAAGAGUGCCAAUUUCCGUGAAUAAAGAAACCACACUGGGAGGUCACUAGCAGAUUUUAAAUGUAUAGUUGAAAUACUUGUAGUGUGUAAUUUGACAGUAGAAAAUGUUAAAAAAGGAACAAUCUGGGUUCCGGAGCUCUAAGAGAAAAGCAUACACUUAACUGGAUUCUUGUAGAGAAAAUGCUUCCAUAUCACUGGCUGAGUAAGGACGAUGCUUCAAGUUUGAUUAAUUUGGCAAUAUGAAAUGCAGCAUAAGGUGUUGUUUGAGAAAUUGGACAAUAUGUAGCACAGUUGAAUCUCUGUAGCUCCUAAGAUCCUUAUAGGUGCAGAUAAGACUGUCAAAGUUUCAGCGCCUGAGAAAAGGUACAUGUUCAUCCAUAAAUACAUACACCACCUGUAUAUGCAUAUUCAUCAACACUAUACAACACAUGCCACAAUGGGAUCUUAGAAGGCAAAGCAAUAUUGUAAAUUAUGGCUCGCUCUAGGAUAGAAGCAUAGAUGUUGGAUCUGAAACUCAUUUUGGCUGAAGACAAUUCCUUCUGAUUCUAAGUCCAGCCAGAAAGACCAGUUCUAUCAGGAGAUUACAACAUGCCUCUGAGAAAUGAUUACUUAGUUUAGAAGACAGCAGAAUGAUUAAAAAUUCAUGACUGUAGAAUUAAAAAAAAAAAAAAAGAAUCCACUCUUUCCUUUCAGGCUUAUGUCAGACUUACAAUGAAGUUAGAAGGAACAGGAGUCUGCAGCUUUUCACUGCCUGGAAUAACUAUAGUUUAAAGAUCAUUGCGCAAAACAGGAUGUAUAGUCAGGAUACUAUGUUGCAAACUGCCUAACCCAAAGGCAAAAACUUGAAUUUAUUUCUGUGUUUUGGCAAGCCUUGGAGUUGGGUUUUGCAGAAUUUCAAAAAGAAUUCACGAUCUCUUGGAGAGAGCUUUCCGUCAGUCCCACUUCAUGGCAUGACCUCUGCUGGGUUAUUAAUUCCAGCCAGCAAAGUAGCAAAGGGGACAUGACGUCUGAGACCCCCCCCUCCUUCUUUCAUCAUUGGGACUGACUGAGCUGGGGGCUUGAAGCUGGAGGUAAUCCUUGCUGUCUCAUGUUGUCUUUAGAGAAUGGCAAUGGUCUCUGCAAUGUCCUGGGUCCUGUAUUUGUGGAUAAGUGCUUGUGCAGUGCUCCUGUGCCAUGGAACCCUUCAGCACACCUUCCAGCAGCACCACCUGCACAGACCAG
RNAcentral lists this long non-coding RNA (2522 nucleotides) under Lynx pardinus (Iberian lynx). Lineage: Eukaryota; Metazoa; Chordata; Mammalia; Carnivora; Felidae. The record is from RNAcentral.